GUGAAAAAGAGGGGGACUGGAGGGAAGAGGGGAGGCAGAGCUGUGUCGGCAGGAGGACAGAGGGGCACAACAGUCCUCGGCGUGGGGCAGCGCCCCGGGAACCCCUCUGUUAUCCAAGGGGAUAUCUGAGCCCCUGGGAUGUGGAAGCACACAAAGGACUGUGUGAGGGGAGAGAGCUGAGAGGCUUCAGCCCCCUCCAUCGCGGGACAGUGCUUGACAAGGAACCAAACAACCGGGGACACGCAUUUUCUACCCAAGAGGGCGCCUGCAGCACGGCUCCGGGUGUGUGAGGAGUUAGGAGGGACUGAAAGCGCCUCCCCGGGCAGCACCGGGGCCCGGCAGCGCCUCCGGCGCCUGGGGGAGCCUCGCGGGGAGCCUCGGGGGGAGCCGGGGGGCUCCGGGACGGCCUCGCCGGCGGCUCCCCGGGUCCCCCGAGCGGCAGCGCCGCUUGCUGGUCCCCUCCGGCCCGGCCCCGGGUCCCCUCGCUGCCCCCUGCCAAGGGCCCAGGCCCGGGCGGGCUGAGGGGGGAGCUGGUGGCGUUAAUUGGGAGGAGAAAUCAAUGCCGCGCCCCGGAGGGAUGGAUAAUGCGGAGGGGCUGCGUCGUUAAUUGCCGGUGGCAUUUCCAGUUGUAAUACAGAGCUCCUGGAAAUAAAGCCCGGCCGCGCUACUUUCAUGUCUUAACAAAUGCCAGGCGACUUACUGACAGGCGUUGAAUUGUAGAGUGAGCUGAGCAAACAGAGCGGGGCGGCUUGGACCGCAGAUGCCCUCCCUGCUCCUAAUUUUCUGCUUUCAGGGCCACCGACAGCACCCCAGCACCCGGCUGGGACCUGCCCCUCGCCCGCUGGGUCUGCCAUUUUCUUGCCCUCGCAGUUGCUGGUUUCCAGAAAAACAAGAGGACCUGUGGUGUCUGCAUCGAACAUAUUCCUCAGAGAACCAGAAAUCUCCAGUGGAGAAAGAGAAUGCAGAUGACUUUUUCCACGUGGAAAGCCAGUGCCCAAUGCGUAUAUGGGGAGAUGGCCCUGAAGAUGGAAAAGCUGAUUUCUUGGUGCCUUGCCUAGGAAGUAUUUCUGUAAGAUUAAAGUACAAAGUGGAAAAUCUGCAUCUGAGUCCUCACAAGGAAAAAAAAAAAUAA
RNAcentral lists this long non-coding RNA (1132 nucleotides) under Anas platyrhynchos platyrhynchos (common mallard). RNAcentral's name for it is "lncRNA (ENSAPLG00000023691.1)". The record is from RNAcentral. Lineage: Eukaryota; Metazoa; Chordata; Aves; Anseriformes; Anatidae.